GCACUUUGGAAAUAACGGCGAUGAGAAGAAGCUCUUCUACAGGCAGCUGAAGAGGGAGUACGAUCGCUCUCUCGACACAGCACCACGAUCUACGUUCUAUCGCACUUUGGAAAUACCGGCGAUGAGAAGAAGCUCUUCUACAGGCAGCUGAAGACGGAGUACGAUCGCUCUCUCGACACAGCACCACGGCACAUCUUCAUUGAAGUUCAGAACGCUCGGGGGAGUUAUACGUCGUAAGUGUAUGGCAGUGAUAAACUGACAGUAAAGAUCCUCCAUGCGAUCGUGAUCCAGAAGAUCAACCGCAGUUGAUGUAAGCUGAAGAUGUUCACGCAGAUUACUCAGGAUGACAAACGACCGGAUUAUCUCGAAGGUCCUCACUCAUCUUAAAUAUUUCAUAUUUGCACAUCUUGCAACAAAUAUCGUCGAUAACUGCUAAGCCGGACUUGGAUUACAGACCAUUAUUAACAGGAUCGAGCGGAACGUGAACGUGCACUUCAGUUGUAUUCAGAUCUUACGUGAAACUACGUCCUCAAGGUGCAUGAGAGAGCAUGAGAGAGCUAUGCUAUGCGAGAUGCGAUAUAUGUUCGAAAAGUCAGCUGUGAAGCGGGCACACUGCAUCUUGCCCGUGCAGCAUUUUGCCACGUCCCGUUCGAGCGGGACCCAGGGAGCAGACACAGCAAACAGA
Long non-coding RNA from Anopheles merus, 685 nucleotides. RefSeq lists it as uncharacterized. The transcript has 5 exons. The record is from RefSeq and is a predicted model, not a curated record. NCBI's taxonomy places the organism in Eukaryota, Metazoa, Arthropoda, Insecta, Diptera, Culicidae.